CUCUUAUUCAGAGUGGUGGAGGUACAUAGGACCUAUGAAACCACGGCAACCCCUUGAGUGAUCAGGAAGGUGCCAACCUGAGCGUGCAGUUCCCGAAUGGGAAUAUGAG
This 109-nucleotide non-coding RNA is filed under the name Butyrivibrio proteoclasticus. Its description in RNAcentral is "SAM-I sequence". It matches the Rfam family "SAM riboswitch aptamer (S box leader)". From Rfam's summary of the family: The SAM riboswitch is found upstream of a number of genes which code for proteins involved in methionine or cysteine biosynthesis in Gram-positive bacteria. The SAM riboswitch acts at the level of transcription termination control. The predicted structure consists of a complex stem-loop region followed by a single stem loop terminator region. RNAcentral also lists the same sequence under 1 other name. The record is from RNAcentral. Lineage: Bacteria; Bacillati; Bacillota; Clostridia; Lachnospirales; Lachnospiraceae.